UGAAGUUGUGGAAUUUUUUUUUAUUUAUUAUAAUAUAACUAGAGAUAACUAAAUCAGAUAUGUAUAAGCAUAAAAAUUUUUAAAAACUUUUUAAAAGCUUUUUCUUGUACAAAAGAGCUUUCUCUCACAUAUUGUAACUAGAAAGGGAUAUUGCGUAUUUGAUUACUCAUUUUUUUCUGACCAUAAAAACUGUAACCAAUAUAAUAAAGAAACUUUAUUUUGUGUCCAAAGGUAGAAACAUAUUGGCGCUGGUCGUCAUGAUGUUUACUCAAAAAUUGCUAAAACUAUGCUCACUAUUUCUAAAUUAUAUAUACAUCUUAUGGAUCAAAGCUUUCUGACAAGAGCCACAUCAGCAUUCUUAAUUAGUAUUUUUUGCUUAAUAUUGUUUAAUACCGCUGCUAUUGACGCUUGUGAGUGAGCUUCCCCCAAUUAGAGUUUAUAUGCAUUUUAAAAGCGGUAUAUGUAUUUUUAGUACUUCAUGAGUAAAAGCUUUGUGACGGACAUCUUUAUAUACCUAUACUUUUAAGCGAGGCCCUAUGCUCCACUUAGGAGAGAAGGACAGCAGUAAUAUAACACGCUUUUAUAGGGUGCUUUAAGGCACAAAUGCUUACUUUUCCCAGAUAAAGUUUACAUUUCUAAAAAUGCAACCUUGCAUAGGAUUUUGCAAACGUCUCCACAACACCAAAAAAGAAAAAAAAAAAUAACACAAAAAAAAAAAAA
Molecule: long non-coding RNA, 720 nt
Organism: Teleopsis dalmanni
Lineage: Eukaryota; Metazoa; Arthropoda; Insecta; Diptera; Diopsidae
Exons: 2
Source: RefSeq, a predicted model, not a curated record